Long non-coding RNA from Hylaeus anthracinus, 779 nucleotides. RefSeq lists it as uncharacterized. The record is from RefSeq and is a predicted model, not a curated record. Lineage: Eukaryota; Metazoa; Arthropoda; Insecta; Hymenoptera; Colletidae. The transcript is spliced from 3 exons.
CUUAUACCGUUACCGUGUAGUUGUGCGUCUUGUCGUGUUUUUUGUAAAUUUCGGCGUUGUUUCCUAAUACAUAUUUAACAUAAAAUGCCACAUAAAUGUGCCAUGGCAGACUAGAUGCGUAAAGCAGGAGAUGCUGGAAUAAUAGUGUUUUCAUUACCGAAAAAUCCUGCUAUCUGAGACGAGAGGCUCCAGUUUGCGAACAUUGAUGCCAGAGAAAAUAGGAGCAUUCGCAUAUUAAUUUAAUAUUUAAAUAAUUUUAAUUUUUAAUUAAUUUAAAAACUUAAUUGUAUAAUUGUGCAUACAUAUUUUAAAGAAUAUAUUGUAUGUUUAUACCGUACAAUAAUUUAUUAUAUCCUACCUCUCUUUUAACUUUUACUAUUAUGUAUAAAUAAUUCCUAAGUAUAAACUAAUGUAACUAUACUAUAUAACUAAGUGUAAGUAUGAACUUAUAUUACUUAAUUGUAACUUAUGUUUCAUAAUUAUAUAUACUUUAUUACAUCAUAUAACUUCAAUCUUUUUACAGAAAUCUUGUCGCAAUAAAGACGCGCAACACUUUUCCAUGAUACACUUUAUACACUAUGUUUUAACUUUUACGUUAUUACAAAAUAUAAAUUGUACCAUGAAAGAUUUGUUAUGCGUCGUUAUUGUGAUGUAAGUUCACAGAAUUCAAAUUUGUGACCUGAGGUUUCUGGGAUUAUAGAACUACGGAGCAACUUGCGGAGUGAGGUGAAAGGAGGGGAUGCUUAAUACGGUUCCCACUCACCAGAGGGCACUGAAAC